UAGGGAGACCUAAUCCAUUUAGAAAUCGAAAACAAUGAAAAUUGUCAAUAGAAACUAAAUUGGUCUAACCUAGGUCGUUCGAGACUGGUAGACAUCUUUCAAAGUAUUAUUCGGCUUCGUUCAAAACCAUAUAUAAUAAAUGGAAAAAGACAGCACCUAAUUGUCAAAGUUAGACUGCUGGAUGAAGUUCCAGCCAGAACCUUGAAAACUGCAUAAGAGAACAAGAAAAAGCAGGCAGACACAGACAUUUAGAUGGAUGUGGAAGCAAAAGAAAUUGU
This 278-nucleotide unclassified non-coding RNA is filed under the name uncultured Anabaena sp. Its description in RNAcentral is "partial 16S-23S ribosomal RNA intergenic spacer". The record is from RNAcentral. Lineage: Bacteria; Bacillati; Cyanobacteriota; Cyanophyceae; Nostocales; Nostocaceae.